Long non-coding RNA from Lactuca sativa (garden lettuce), 2663 nucleotides. RefSeq lists it as uncharacterized. The record is from RefSeq and is a predicted model, not a curated record. NCBI's taxonomy places the organism in Eukaryota, Viridiplantae, Streptophyta, Magnoliopsida, Asterales, Asteraceae.
CUGCCUCGCUUUCCUCUGUUCACAAUCUGCAUCGACCACCGCCACCAUCAUUACCUCGCCUUCUGUCUUCCGUCGACACUGCUUCCCGGUGUUGCUAUCGCAUUGAAGAUCACCUCUUUAUCUGCUUCGCUCACUUCAGUACCGGUCUCCGUCGUUUGAAGCCCUAAUUUUCCCAAUUGAAGCUUCGAUUAGAUAAGCACUUCCCCAAAAUUUGCUGAAGGCGUGAUUAGGGCUAGAAAAAGCUCAACUGGAGCUUUAUUCCUUACAUUUGAAAUUGUGUUCAUCAUUACUAAAUGUUGAAGGUAAUGUUAUCCUUUCCUCAAUCUCUCUUCUCUCCUUACUCGUUGAUUUCUCAGGGACGACAUCCUCUACCUAUUUUUUUGGUUCUCGAGUCUGUUCUGAUUCCUGUUUAUAGUCAGACACUUACACAGGCACGUAUAAACACACAAUCGAAAACACAUAGAAAUACGCAAUCACUUAUGAACGGAGUCGGAUUUUCUUUAAUUUUGUUGUACGUUUCCGAUUGAGGGCUGUGGUGGUGGCAUUUUUUCCCCACUAUUUAGUUUUAAGGUUUUAUGAUCGUUUUGUUGUGUGUCUCUGAGGAAUGUUGGAAUUUUUUGUGAUUUUCUGUUAUUUAUCUUCUGAAUUCAAGAAAUUUUGUUGAUUUGAUAGAGUGGAGGCAUAGAUGUUUCUUAGAGGCUUUGUUUGAUUUUCCUUUUGCAAUGAAUUGAUCCAGGAUCAAUUACCUUAAGUAUAUGUGUUUGAUUGCUUGACCAGAGGAUUCCCUCUUUAGUUACACUUCAUUCCUGGAAUCCAAUUCCCGACCACAAAUGGCCUUACUAGCUACUUCAUUACUACACACAAUGCUAAUUAUAGUUUCAUAAUGUUUUUCAUCCUAUACAUUUUAAGUGUUUUUUAGUAACUAAAUGGCAUCAAUCAAAUCUAUACAAGUAUUUAGGACUUAACAGACCUAGAUGAAUAAAUGUUCACUUUUUAAGUUCUAUCUCUCUUGUGCAUGUGGGAAUACGAGGAUAUGCUUAUGAUUAACUCCUUUUAAGUAUAUUUCUCAUUGUGUUGUCAUAUAUAACAGGUUAAGAAUGAAUAUGGAGAUGCUUUAAUACAACUGUUCCUUGGGUGAUGCGCAAACAAAGUGAUGCACCUGAUCCAAUUAUAAGUAAAAUUACCUCAACUUAUAAUCAAGAAUCUGUAUCUAUGUCAAUUGUGAACACAUACAAACUGCUAAAUUGAAAGCUCUACAGUAGAUCAAGUUUUUGCCUGUUGGAUACUCAAUUAAAUGCCCUAUUUGUGUGUUGAAUCUUAUAUUAGUUUCAUUGUUUCUUCUUUAAUCGGUUCUAUAGCAUAGAAUGAAGUUUUUUUUAAUAGGUUUCUAACAUAAUGGCACGCCAAAUUGCAGAUAAAUUCAUCAUACAUUGCCUUACAUUGCCUGGAAUGAAAUCCAAGAACAAAUUAUCUUAUUGGAAUUGCAAAGAUUCAACUAAGCUAUUGUCUAUAAUCUCUGAACUUGCGUAUUUUACUAUUUUUACCCAUUAUAUGAACCUUUCUCAAAUUAUUACAUUGUUGAUAAUUGAAUAUUGCAAGAGUUUGUACAUGGCAUGGCAGAAAAAUGUGUUGGGGAUGUUGAUGAUGAAAGACUAAAAUUAGGGUUUCAACUUGUUACUUUUCAAUUUUAGAGUUGAUACUAUUUGUGGCCAUUAGAAUUUUAUAAAUCAUCUUUCCAGAAAAUCAUCUUCCGCCAAGGUUGUUCACUUAUUCACUAACCCAAAAAUAUGAAGAACUCUACCAAGAGAAUGGAGGUUCUCCCUCCUAUUCCCCACCAACACAUGCUUAAAUCUUUUGUUGACAUCAUGUUUCAUUUGUAGGGUGACUUUAUAAAAAUCUUGGAAUCUGGGCCUUAUGAAGGUGUCAUUGGUGUUAAACUUGAAAAUGGAUCUACCAUUGAAGCAAAUUUUCCCUUAAUCGGAGGAAAGGUUAAGUGAUGGGGGCUUCAUGGUGGGAUUAGAGAGGAUGAAAAUUAAAAGGAUAUGAUUGUAUGGCUACAUGUAAUAUGUGUAUGGUUUUUUCUUAAAUAAAUAUUAAACAAAAAGAUAUUAACAUUUCGCUAUUUUGUAGAUGUUUAAGCGUCAUGGAUGGUGUUAUGUUUGAGUUCCAUAGAGGGAUUAAAAGUUUCCAAACUGAGGAUGACCAAAAUAUUGGUGAUGAAGGAGAAAAGAUUUCACUGAUACUAGAAAAAGUUGCAUUUCCAGAAGUUAUAAUGGCUGAAAUGAUUUCAGCCAUUAUAUGUUAGUCACUAAUUAGUGACCAUUAUUUUUAUUUUUGUCACUAAUCAGUUUUUGUGACGGAUAGUGACGACCAAAUUUUUGGUCACUAAUUCAUCUAGUGACGACUCUUUCUAUUGUUGUUUUGCAGGCAUGUAUGCAGUAAGAGAUGCAAAAGUCAGUUAAAAAGGCUUAAGAAGAAGCUAGUCAGAGUUGUUGGUUUUACUAGUAAAAUAACUCACAUUCUUUUGUAACAACUAUUAUUUGUGUACAGUUUACAAAAUGAGUAAGGUAGUUAGAUAUGGAAUACUUACUGUUUUUGGAAAUUUGUUUUGGUGGUUGUUGUCUUAAUUUUGUUCUAAGGUGAAUAUAUGAUGUUUUUAGCCA